AAGGCUACCCGUCGUUUCGUGACGUUUCCUUACGCGCUUCCCACAUAUAUUGCGGUACAGACUGCCAUCAUGUCAGGGGCGAUCGCGUUGCUUCGCAACCAUCAUCCUCUCACAGGUGCAGCGACAAGAGGCUGCGGCCGUCUUGCUUGCAGCUGUCGCGCGGUGUGUGAAGCAAUGAUGCUGGAACAUAGCAAGCGCUGCAAGGACAACCGUGCCAACCAAGGCACAAAAGAGCCCGUGCCGCUGUUGCGGCGGACGCACUCUCCCUUCGCAUGGCGUCCGACACGAGCCCUACAGCGGUGGAGGAUGACAUGCUGCGACGGAUCUGGGUACAAGUGUUGGCGCUGCUGGGCCCUCGCGUGCGCCUCUCAUUUCGGCGUCUUUGACGAUUGUGAGUUGGCGCACAGCGACGAGGUGGUCAAGUUUGCAGAAUUAGGCAAUAUCAGAGACGUCAGCGCCAAGUGCAUGCAUUAGGGACCCCAACACUCUGGCCUCAGACUCCAGGCCGACAUCUCCCGAGACGGGGAUACACGAUGCGGCACGCUGCGACAGGAAGUGCUUGGCGGCGGCUGUCCCGCACCGGAGGAGCACAGAUUCUGCGCCCACGAGACGGCAGGAGCUCAUCCUCGCCCAGGUCCCCACGGUCACCUGCGCUUGCACUGGGGAUCGCUUUAGCGGCGGGUGGGUGGUAGCACCAAGCUGACGAUGGUGCGCUGCCUACUACUCUUCUAGCGCUGUGGUACCUUCGCCACCUCCGCAUAGCCUCCGGUCUGCAUGUUGUUUCGGGGCGGGCAUCCGACCCAGCGUUGCGCCGAGUCUGCAGGGGAGGAUUUUUGAAUUGCUCGACGCUCAAACGACACCUCGCCUCGCGCUGUGGUCUUGAGCCGCAAUGGUGCGAUUACGCGCACAUCGCACGCGCCCUGCACGGGCUCCUCACCUGUGAGAGUGUCUGCCGCUGCCCCCCUGUGCCCCGUUCAGGAGGACGAGCUAUGCGCUCUUCGUGCGCAGGCACACGUUUCUUCGUGGACCCUUUCCCCAUGGCACACACCUAAGCCUGCCAAUGGUGUGCAGACUCAGCAGAAGAUGAAAGUUCCCCAUGUCGCCGCAGAUGCAUAGCGACGGCCCACCUGUCGCGGCGCAUGCGAGCAAGUCAUCUAGACACGCCCCACCAUGACACAGACGGAAAAGAAAUAUGAAGACGGCGAGCAAACCUACUGGGACAACAAUGCCGUGCUGAAGCAGGCCCUAGGAUCCGAAAAUGCGUGCACUGGGCGCACGCUGCCUGUUGCACAAUUCAAAUUCUGCAUCAUAUUGCAAACAAGGUAUCAGGACAUCAGCAGACCAAGAGCAAUUCACGGAAAAGACCCAACAAGAUCCACACCGAUCAAUUCCAAACUGUUUGUGUGCAAAGCAUGCGGCAUCCCCCCUACAUCCCGACCGGGUGCACUGGUGAGACACAGGUGGCGGAGGCAUGACGAGAGGACCCCGCGUUUACGUCAUCGAGCCCUCCUGGCUCCACUGUGGAGAGUGACCGCGCCACAUUGUGGUAUGCCGUGGCUGGAAGCGGCUCGCCACCAAAAAGAAACACGGGAUACAGGUAGGGGGUGCGCAGAGUCUAUGAGAGCCUUGGCCUGAAGCUGGUCAACGUGCCCUCCCUGAGCUCAUGCGGCAUGCGUCCAGAUCCCUCUUCCUCCUUCCACUACCCGCACAGUGGAUGCCACCGCCUCGGCCCCUGGAGCAUGGCCCUGGACGGGGGAGACCGCCUUUGGCUCGAGGGGUUACCGCCCCCCCCCCUCUCUCCACCCCGAGUCUCUCCGUCUGGCGCCGGUCGUGCAGCACCUAUCCGACGAGGGGACGAGGAAGGGCACGAAGAGUCCGCUGGACGCGUUGAGCCGAUUCGACGGCAGACGGUAUUCGCCCGAGAAGAUCGAGAUCUCGCGGUGCUCCUACAGAGGCCGGUGCGCUGACAUGGUAUGCCGCAACUUCUUGACUGGCUCAUGGCAGAACAGCGCCUUGACAAGGAAAAGAAACGUUUUGUACAAAAGGAACGCCCUAAGUGUCGAAGCGCUCUGCAGGGCUUGGCGUACCCAUCGCUACUUCAGAAACGGGGGUAGGUUCGUAUGAGGCUUGUCGCGUGAGGUGCUGCUACAAUGCAGGACACGUUUGUGAGCGUCAAGUGCGCUGGGCUGCGCUUUUCGGAUAGUCUACGAACGGUGCUCUCUCGUGACGUUUCUUCUCUGUCCGUCUUGCCUGGAUGCUGUUCCUAUGCAAUGUGCGUUCCCUUGGCGUUGCCGCAUGUACGGUGUGAUGUGCGUGCGUACUCCUGGCUAUCUAACCACUGCU
This 2343-nucleotide unclassified non-coding RNA is filed under the name Leishmania donovani. RNAcentral describes it as "gene:unknown". The record is from RNAcentral. Lineage: Eukaryota; Euglenozoa; Kinetoplastea; Trypanosomatida; Trypanosomatidae.